Molecule: long non-coding RNA, 26959 nt
Organism: Peromyscus californicus insignis
Lineage: Eukaryota; Metazoa; Chordata; Mammalia; Rodentia; Cricetidae
Exons: 5
Source: RefSeq, a predicted model, not a curated record
GUGCUUAUUUUAAAUUUUAAUACACGUAAACAUUCAAACACUCCAGAUAAAAUGAAAACCAGUCCUUCUGGGGUAAACACUGUACAACUUUUAUAGCGUUGACAGCCUCUGGCAAAGGAAUUCUUAAAACUGCUAUUGACACAAUCAUUAAGUACUGUGCUUGUAGCUCGUGACAGAAAGGACAGUAUCUUGGAAGACCACACACCCUGGCUUCUCCACGCUCUCGGCCCACUGAAGCCACGGUUAGCAGCUUCACACACAAGAGUCUCAUUUAGCGUCUGUAAAUCAAAGGAGCGGGCAUUUAUUUGUAUCCCCAUUUUACAGGCUGUGAGGCUGCAUUAGGGAGCUUAAGAGGCCAAGGAUACCUAGUUAUUAAGUGGCAGAACCAAUGUGCAAGCUAGAAAACUGGACAACCCCAAAGCAAGUUCUUAAGGACCAUCUAUUCACAGGUGAGUAACCCACAGGGCCUGCACCUAAGGAGUUUACUGCUUGGCAAACUCUGGUUAAGGUGACUGGCCCAGCUGGCUGGAAACACGGGGCUCUUCCAGUGUUGCCAAAUUAAACCAAGUCCAGCCUCUCAUUUCACCCUAAGGGAAUGCAUAAAGAAUCAUGAUUCCUCAUCACUGUCCCUCUGUGUCAAGUUACUCAAAAAAGGUGGACUUGCACAAAUGGGAAAACAGUAUAGAGCUGGUACAUAAGCAAUAGUGCAAGGAGGGUCCCUAAAGCUAUCCACAAUGAUGAUAUAAGAUUAUAUAUAUGUAAAAUUAUAUAUAUAUAUAUAUAUAUAUAUAUAUAUAUAUAUAUAUAUAAAUGAUAAGGUAUCCUCUAAUACAGGAGGAGAGCCCAGAAGACAGUGAGUAGCCAAAACUGUACCCUACAUAAAAAAUGCUUUUGACAACUGUCCACAAGUCCCCCUCCAGUUCCCUUCCUAUCUUUUUAAAGCCUCUGAUUCUGUGGGAUUGGAGGAAUGACUUUGAUUAGGUCCUAAUCUGCCCUUAAUAUCUCUCUUCAGCACUUUGUGGCUUGAAAUUGUCUGCAAAUGAACGAUCCUUUAAGGAAUAGAGCAUAUCUAGGGUUCUAUUGAGAGUGGAUUUUUAUCAGUCUUUAAAAUAAGACUGGGGAAUGUAGCUUAGUUGGUAGAGUUUUUGCCUAGCAUGCACAAAGUUCUAUCCUGUGCACCAAAAAAACUAGGUGGGGUGGCACACAGGCCUGUAAUCCCAUCACUUGAGAGGUAGAAACAACAGGAUCAAAAAUUCCAGCACAGCUGGAGAGAUGGCGCAGCAGUUGAGCACACCGACUGCUCUUCCACAGGACCCUGGUUCAAUUCCCAGCACCCACAUGGCAGCUCACAACUGUCUGUAACAGGGUACCUGAUAUUCUCAUGCAGGCAAAACACCAAUGCACAUAAAUUAAAAAAAAAAUUCAAAAUCAUUCUUGGCUAUACAGUAAGUUGGAAGCCAAUGUGGGAUGCAUGAGAUACUACCUCAAAAAAUAAGUUAAUUACAGUAAUCCAAUGCCCACUGUACACCUCCUUUUCUUAUAUUGGGACAAUAAUGUACAAUUUAUUUAUGAGAUGAUCUCAGGUAUCCAGGUUAGCCUUAAAUUUGCCGUGUAGCUGAGCUUGUGAUCAUCCUGCCUGUAGUUCUGAAGUGUUAGAUUACAGGUACCUGGGAUGGAACUCGGGGCUUUGUGCAUUCCAGGUAAGCACUGAGCCACGUCCUUAGCCCCCCCCCCCCCACACACUUCUGUCUCUCUUUUGGAGACAGGGUAGUGAUGAACUCUGGCAUUUCCUUCUCCCUCUGUCUCUCAAGUGCUGGGAUUCUCAUGAGCCCAGACCUGGUUUUAUACAUUUUGUUGAGGAACAUGACUCCUUAGUUCUUAGAACUGGUGCUCUGUAAUAGACCUUUUGGUUGGGCCAAAAUAAUAUAAUAGGGCCUUUUGGUUGGUUUUUUGGGGGUGGGGAGUUGUCUUGUUGACCAUCUGAGGCCUCUGGACUGAAAAAGUGCCUAUCAGACAGAAUAACUUAUGCUACAGUGAGAUGGCCCAGCAGGUAAAGGUGCCUGCUGUACAACACACACAUACUUUACAUAAACUGUAAUUAAUUAAAAAAAAUCUCAGUGUCUCAGGAUAAGAUGCUGCAUAGGUGUGGAACAUCACUAAUGUCUUUCUGCAGGACCCAGGUAACUGAAAGGGGAUCCCUCUAGAACAUUGUUGGUCAUUGGAAAAGGGAAGGGAGUCCUCUAGAGAGCCUCAUACCAACAAAUAACUCCGUCUGGAAGUAAUGCAGUCAUUCUUGCCAUUGGACAGAGCUCGUCACAUGGCCAUAGAGCAGCAGGAAGUGUGUUCUUCAAGGUCUGAAGGCAGGCACCAAGAACCCUUUGAACUAAACAAGCAACUUACCAGAAUGCUCUGCCCAAACCCUAAGCCCUAAACGAGUCAAUCCAUUCCAUCACCAGCUCCACCCUCAUUAUUUGGACCAGCUUUAGCCCAGUUCACUAUCUAGCCUUUGCUUGGGCAUUCUACCUCUUUUGGCAUAAGGCCCUCCAUAAGCCAUUAAGCCAAACACACAUCAUACACACCUGGAAUCCUUACUUCACAUGCUUCAGUAUGUGAUCCCUUAUGGUAGAUAGGAUGAAUUCUCUUUGCCAAAUUCUUGUCCACAUUUUCUUUAGGCACACUGAUGACACAUGUCUUGCCUCCCUUACAGAUAGAUGGAUGGUAGCCAUGUAUCUGGGGUUCCAUUUGGUAGAAUACAAUGGCACCAUUUUCUGGAAUGGCUCAUAAUACUCUCCUACCCAACUCCCCACCUACAUACCUUUUCUAAUAGUUUCCCCAGCUGGAUGCCAAAGUCCAAAGCAUUGGCAAACCAGCAUUAAAGAUGCCAGAGCCCCUAUCUACUUUGGUUCCUGAAAGACUGUAGAGCAGAGCUUGGCCUCCCUCUUCCCAGUGGACUCUUGUACCGGAGAAAUAAACCCUUUGGGUUUGAGCACACCAGAAUCCCAGCACUUGGCAGGUAGGGGAAGGAAAAGCAAGCUCAAGAGUUCAAGGUAAACUAUCAUUACCAAAAUAUACUCCCAGUUAACAAGAGAUUAAGGCGGCUGGAGAUGUGGCUUAGUUGUUGGAGUACCUUAAGAAACUUGUCUUGGGCUGGAGUGAUGGCUCAGAGGUUAAGAGCACCGACUGCUCUUCCAGAGGUCCUGAGUUCAAUUCCUAGCAACCACAUGGUGGCUGACAACCAUCUGUAAUGAGAUCUGGCACCCUCUUCCAUAUACAUAAUAAAUAAAUAAAUCUUAAAAAAAAAGAAAAACUUGUCUAAUAGUUGCAACACGGUGUUUAAAAUAGACAAAUAAGCAAAUACCCCUCACCAGUUACUAAACACCGUGAGGCGGUUUGAUGAUUUCUACAGUUGUACUAAACCUCACAGUCCUCUAGCUGGUGGGAACCAGUGUGUUGUGCUGUGUUCGUGGGCUUCGUGGGGCCAGCAGAGCCACACUGGACAGGACAUCUGAUGGUUUGCUUCUCUGUUUAGUCACUUCUUUCCUUGACAACCUAGAUGCAGAUGGCCAGCGUGCUGCCCAGAUGGCAGAACACUGGCAGCUUCCAGCACUCUGGUCAUCAGCAAUGUCUUGCCAUACCUCUGUUUCCCUGGUGCAUGGCCUCCAUCUUCCUGUCUGAGCACCAGUGUGCUUACACCUACAAGCCUUCCUACAGAAGCACCUUUGGGAAUGCAGAACUCAGUGUCUACUGGAUCAUAAUCAAAACCUCAUCAAAGGUUAGCCUGGGGAGGGGAGGGGAACUCCCCUGAGGCCUAGGAGGCCCGGGAUGGUAGAUGUACAAAAGAAAUUCCAGAAGAUGAGCUCUAAGAACUAGAGCACAUUGCAGAAGCAAGCUUUGAAAUAUUCUGCGUCUAUUUACUUCUUAUUGAUUUAUUUUGACUAUGGUACAACAUGCUUACUGCAACACAGUCAAACAAUGCCGCAGGAUGCCAAGUAAGAAUGCAUAAAUUCUGUUCUCAUCUGCAGUCUACUCUCACGCAAUACACGACUGUUGAUGGCUUCUGAGCCAUUUGGCUUAGAUCAAGUGUGUACUGUUGAUAGCUUGUAUGGAUCCCAAGAGUUAAAGAUAACUCAAAAUUUGCAACUCUGAAGGGCUGGGCAAACUGUAUUGUGCCAGUUAAUCACAGCACAGGCUUCAUGGCUUGUAGUUGGAGGCCACGAAAUGUUCAAAGCACCUUCUCUUCUCUUCCUUGUCUUGUCUUCUUCCUUCCCUUUCUCUUGCUGUGAUGAAACACUCUGAGGGGCCUGGUGCAAUUGCUUAGUGGUAAGGGAACCUGCUGCCAAGCCUGAGGACCUGAGUUUGAUCCCCAGUACCCACAAGCAGAGAGCAGACUCUUGUAAGAGUCUCUCACCUCACAUAUGUGCUGCGGCACACACACUGUGGCAUGUGCAUGCAUGCACACAAAAGAAAUAAAAUGUAACAAAAGACCCCGACAAAAGCAUCUUAAUGGAGAAAGGGUUAUCUUGGUCCACAGUUCCAAAACGCAGUCCAUCCUGGCAGGAGAGGCAGGGUGGCAGGAGAGGCAGGGUGGCAGGAGAGGCAGGGUGGCAGGUGAGGCAGGGUGGCAGGAGAGGCAGGGUGGCAGGAGAGGCAGGGUGGCAGGAGAGUGGGGCAGCUGGUCACGUGUGUGCACAGUCAGGAGUCGGAGAAGGAUGAAUGCUUGCACUCUGUUCACAUCAUCCUUGUUAUCCAGUUCAGGAUCCCGGCCCAGGUAAUGGUGCUCUCCACAGUGAGUCUUUUGAGCUCAGUCUAAUCGAGGUAAUCCCUCACAGGUGUUCCCACAGGCCCAUUUCCCCAGGUGAUUCUCGGGCUCACCAAGUUGACAACUGAGAUAACCAGCAUAUUUCAGCUUUGCGUCUUUUCCUCUUUCUUUUUUUCUGGGAGAAAGGCUGUCUAUGUAGCCCAGGGCCUCCAUAGUUCAAUCCCCCUGCUUCAGAUUCUAGGUGUGCACCCUUAUGGCCAGUGUUUUACUUGCUGCAUCCUCACAUUUAGUUCUAAAAGCACCGCUGUGACUACACUCAUGUUCACAAGUAUGUUUUCCAGGGGAAGAAAUGGGGUAGGAAGGGCUGAAUCAGCUGCCCAGGCCACACACCAAGUGAGUGGCGAACUCAGCUUUGAACCUAAGCAGGCUGGCUGCAGAGUUCUCACAGCAACAGCCCAGCUGUCCAGCCAUCUAUUUAGUAAACAGAGAGAGAGCUGUAGGGUGGGGGCACAUUCUGUAUGGUGGGCCACAGGAGCUCAGUGACAGGGUUACAGAAUUGGAGACAAUGACACUCAGAUAUUGAUCUAACUUCGGGAGCCUUAGCAAUCUCAAUUAUAAAAAUAUGCCCAGCUGCACAGAUGGUACUGGGUCCUGAUGCUAAUGAGUCAUGGUUCUAAUAGGUCGUGUGGAUGUCUACAAUUACCCCAUUACCUAAGAGUCAAUGGCUUCUACUUUUACCCCAUGGCACUGGGGUGCAAACGGCUGCUGCGACUCCUUUGUUACUUUGUUUUUUUCCUUCUGAGACUGUGUUUCUCUGUGCAACAGUUCUGGCUGUCCUGGAACCCAAUUUGUAGACCAGGCUGGCCUUGAACUCACUGAGAUCCACCUGCCUCUGCCUCCCAAGUGCUGGGAUUAAAGGCGUGCACCACCAUUUCCCUUUCUCCACUCUGUUAGCUGUAUUAGGGAAAAGUUCAUUUCCUAUAUGUUGAAGGUUAAUAUGAUCUUUGCUUUAGAAUUCCAGACAUUUAAGAAACCCCAAUAUUAUCCUGAGGUGUUCUGCUAACUUGCUCCAAUGUAAUGAUUUUAUACUUAGAACUGUCUCAGCCCGAUUUUGACUGUACUAUUAAUCUACUGGUAACUCUGGUGUUCUACCACUAGGAGGUGCUGUUUCAUUGAUUUCCCCCCCCCUUUUUUUUUCUUUUUCAAAUUAAGUACCUCACCUAGUCCCUUCCAUGGGAAUAUCUGAUAGUGAAAACCUUGACUUUUCACAUACCGCUGUUAAAAUGUAUCCAAUUACUGGAGACAAAAAGAAACAAACAAACAGGUUAGUAUUUUAACAAUACUUUUAUUCAAGGGGCUUAAAGGUCCAGAUACUUCAACAUUAAUUAGAAGCUAAGCUUCAUUGAUUAACACAGAAAAAGAAAAGAAAAUCCUGAGUCUUGAGGCAGAGUAGAAGAAAAUUCAGUCACCUGGCUUGCCAAUUAUAGUUCAAAAAUAGAAACAUUGCUGUUGUGGUUUAAUUUUUUUGAUUGAUUUUCUUUGAUGAGAUUAAGUUUUCACCCAUCUUGUAGGAAUGUUUCAGCAGGCCACAAUAAAUAAUUAUUUCACUGGGUAAAUUCAUCACACAGGGUUUUCCUGUUUAUUCUGUCUUGUUUCUGUGUAUGUCUGAGCUAGAGUGAACAAAUCCGAUUUUACAUCUGUGUCCAUAGCCUAAGAGUUCGGAAAUCAAUAUAAAUACAACAGAAGGUUUAUAGGGAAAUGGAAAAGGAAACAAGGACUGCUUGGCCAUGAUCCUGGAUCUCCAGGUUUGGGAUAAAUUAGAGAGAGAAACUUCUACUUAUUUUCAUUGUUUAAUAAGCAAACUAAAGGUACACCAAAGAAUACUUUUCUAUUUGGUUAUAAAGCAAGAGAAUAUGGAUUGAAACUUAAGAUGGCAGUUAUUCUUUGUUGUUGGUGUUUUUUACUCUUUUGCUCUUUGCUCUUUUGGGGCCUGCCAUUCAGCUACCAAAUAAAUACACACACGGAGUCUCAUUUCUUCUUAUGAAUGCCCAGCCUUUGCUUGGCUUGUUUCUAGCCAGCUUUUCUUAACUUAAAUUAUUCCAUUUAUCUUUUGCCUCUGGGCUUUUACCUUUCUCUAUUUCUGAAUAUCUUUUCUUUCCUUUUUACUCCAUGUCUGGCUGGGUGGCUGGGUGGCUGGGUGGCUGGCCGGCCCCUGAUAUCCCCCCCCUCCUUGUUAUCUUGUUCCUCCUUCUCUCUUGCUUACUUUUUCUCCUUCUAUUUCUUCUCUCUGCCUGCCAGCCCCACCUGUCCUUUCUCCUGCCUCACUAUUGGCCAUUCAGCUCUUUAUUAGAUCAUCAGGUGUUUUAGACAGCGAAGUAACACAGCUUCACAGAGUUAAACAAAUGCAACAUAAAAGAACACAACACAUCUUUGCAUCAUUAAAUAAAUGUCCCACAGCAUAAACAAAUCUUAAAAUAAUAUUCUACAAAAAAAUCUUAACUUUUUGUUUGUUUAUUCUGAGAUGAGGUCUCUCUAUAUAGUUUGGGGUGGCCUUGAACUCCCAGAGAUCCACCUACUUCAGCCUCCUGAGCACUGGGGUUAAAGCCAUAUGCCACCAUAUGGAAUCUAAAUUUUGUUUAAAUGGCCUUUCCUACCAGCACCAAGACUCUCAUUUUAGCAAGUAACUGGGAUAAAAUGUGUCUGCACCAAAGGGUCAGGAAUCUUGGAUUAUUUUAGGCUUCUGUCUAUCUACCAAAAUGAUUUUUCAAAAUCUCUUUCUAGUGAGAUGACCCAGUGAACAAAGUUUGCACAUCUUCAGAGCUGAGUCACCCUGGGCCCCAGACUUCACUCUGGAGCCUUGGACUGAGCUACCCCCCCCCCCCCCCAAUCUGGGAGCAAGGCCACAUUUUAUUGUUUUGCCCAACAGUUCCUCACAAAGUAGAGCAGCUGCAUCGCUGUAUCAGAUGAGGAUCCACUCUUCGAAUCCCUGUGACAGGUGAAAGGACAUCUGGCAUCUCUUGAAGAUCAGACUUGUAAGACGUUAGCAUCCUCCGAGCGCUCCUUCACCUGCCUUCGGUGAUCAAGCCUAACAGAGUGGACAUCUGGGGCAUGUGCAGCGCACCCUCCACUCGGGCUGCGAUGGGCAGACAGACCGGGAAGGGCCCAUCUCUGACUGCAGCAUUUGGGUGGAAGGAAACGGGGGGGGGGGUUUCUCAUCGUCCCCCCCCCACACACUUCAAGAGAUAUCAUUAAAAACACUCUUUUGUCCAUUAGAGAAACAGCUUAGAUCUUAUAAACCACAAGAAUCUUGUCCUCUUUACCAUUUAGCCUUCAAGGCCUUACCUUUUGUGACUGGAAGGCAUAUCCAGUUCUACACACACACACACACACACACACACACACACACACACACACACACACACGGUUCUUUGAUUAGCUUGAGGCAGUACAGUUAUCACAGAACAGCUUUCCCUUUCUCUGAAGCUCUCAGCACCUACCAAUCCCUGAUCCAGAGGCAGAAGCCAGAGGGAAGGGGUAGGCUUUAGCCUCGGAAGUGCUGUUAUUUCAAUGUAUACGAAACUGUAGACAAUAACCUGGAGCCGGCCUCUUCAUUAUCGGAUGCAGACUUAACAGCAACACACACACCCUACUUAUCGGCUAACACUGACAUGAGAUUUAUGAUCCUGAUAACAUGAGGUUUCCUGUCCAUGGCCCAUUACAUCCAUUUUCUGGGUGAAACUUAAAGAGGAAAACCAACUAAAUAAGAUAUAGUGGAUUAACAUCAAACAGGCCACAACUAACCACUCAGAAUACUUAAGCUUCCUUUCCAUAGUUAUUUAAUUUGUUAGCAGCUUUAUGGAUAAAGCUCAUGGACCACACAGUGCCCCCUUCAGAGGUACAGUUUGGAGGUGGGGGUGUAGCUCAGUGGUAGACCACUUGCUUAGCAUGUCCAAGGCCCUGGGUUCAAUCCCCAAAACCCAAAUGGAAUGAAAUAAAAAUGCAUAUAAUUGUAAAUAUAUUCAACUAAAUAUAACACAAAUAACUAUUUAUUAUAUACCUUUUAAAUUACCUGUUCAAUUAUAAACAUACUUAUAAAGUAUAUAUAUAUAUAAUUCAUGGGUUAUUUUAUUAACAGAUAUGCUCAAUUCUUUGUAAAUAAAUUAGCUACAGGCAAGUUCAACACAUUUUGAUCAUAUCAAAAAGAAAUCCCAUUCUUUCAAAAAAUUAUUUUUAUUUAUGUGCAUAUGUGUGUGGGCCUCCUUAUCUGUAUGCACAGUGUGUGAGGAAGUGAGGUGUGAGUGUCAAAGCCCCUGCCACUUUGUUGUGAGCUGCCCAGUGUGGGUAUCGGCACCUGAACCUGGCUCCUCUGGGCAAGCAGCAAGUGCUGGGAACUGCUGAGCUGUCCCUCCAGCCCUGUUCUUUGAGCUACCACCCUCACUCCCCUUUCUACCCAAGCAACCCAGAAUCUUACUUUGUGUCUUUAUAACUGGCAUAUUCUGGACAUUUUAUAAAAGCAGAAGUAUACAUUUCUGGGUGACUGCCCUUUUUUCACUUAGUAUAAUAUUUUCCUUUUCUUCAGAGCUGGCUGUUAAACCCAGGGUCUUGUGCAUUCUAGGCAAGCACUCGGCCACUAAGCCACACACUCAACUCCUAGGGUAAUGUUUUUAAGGUCUAUCCAUGUCAAAGUGUAUGUCACCAAUUUCAUUUUUAAAAGUUGUUGAAUAGCAUUUCAUUUUAUGGAUAAAUCAUGCUUUAUUCAUUUAUCAGCUGAUGGAUGUUUGGAAAAAUCCCACAUUUCCACUAUUAUUCAUAAUACUAGUAUAAGCAUUUUUGUGACUCUUUGGGGGUGGACAUACUUUGAAUUCUAUUCGACAUAAGAAUAUUUCAUUUUUGAGAAAAUCCUUUGCUAUAUCACCCUGACUGGCUUAGAACCUGCUAUGCAGCCCAAGCUGGCCUUGAACUUGUGAUCUUCCUGCCCCUACCUCCAGAGUACUGAGCUUACGGGCGUGUACCACCAUGCUAUUUUCUAUUGGAAAUAUAUGUAUGAAUGUAAUUGCUUUGGAAAAUGGUAAUUUCUCCUAUUUUAAAAGAAUAGGAACAUGUGUAUAUGAGAUAUGUAUUAUAUAUUAGAAUUCAUUAUGGUUGGUUGUCCAGGAUAUGCUAUAGUAACAAAACUCUUCAGAUUUUUGUGGACUCAACAGCACAGGUAGAUUCCUCAGUCAAAGCACCUGUCCCUUUAGCAUCCUUUAGUCCAGCCGUCACACUCACAGGACAGGAGGCUGACGGAAGUCCUUCUGUAUUUCAGGGGGAAAGAAUGAAGCAGGUUGGAUACUAGUUCCUAACACUUGCAGUCUGAAGGGCACCAGGGACUUCUUUCCAUACAUCACUAGUCAAAGCAGUCACCCAGUCACACUCAAUUCCAAGGGCAGAAAGUGGAAAGCCAGACGUGGUGGAGAAGUAUCAACACCUUAAAUAGAUCUAUAUGUGUAUAUACAUAUGUAUAUGUAUAUGUAUAUAUGUCUAUCCACACAUACACAAUGACUUCAACUGUGGCCAAGGGAAGAGGGCCAACUCCAGCUUAUCAUUGCAAGGUUACUACUCCAGUACAUUUGGAAUCCAUGGAAACAAUGACGGAGAAUACUCAUGGAAUAUGCUGAACUCACUAAGAAGGGAAGGGCCGAUCUUCACGUUUAGAUGUGUCCUCACGAAAUAGUUAACUUAAAAAAGAACCAAGUGGGCCUGGAGAGAUGGCUCAGAGGCCAAGAGCACGUACUGCUCUUCCAGAGGAGUGGAGUUCAGUUCUCAGCACCCACUUCGGGGAGCCAGAAGCUUCCUGUAACUCCAGCUCCAGGAGAUCCAAUACCUUCUGUCCCUUCUGAGCACCCACACAGGCGGCAUCAACACAAACACAAAGCAAAAAAUUUUUUUUUUUUUUUGGUUUUUCAAGACUGGAUUCUCUGUGUAGCCCUGGCUGUCCUGGAACUCACUCUGUAGACCAGGCUGGCCUCAAACUCACAGAGCUCUGCCUGCCUCUGCCUCCCAAGUGCUGGAAUUAAAGGUGUGUGCCACCAUGCUCAGCUCACAAAAAUACUUUUAGAAGGUUAAAAGGAGGCCAUGCAAUGAGGGAAUGGAUUAAUCUGUGAUAGUUAAUUUCGUUGUCCGCUUGCUAGGCUCUAGAAUCACCCAGGGGACAAGCCUUUGGCGUGUCUGCAAGGGACUGUGUAGAUUAGGUUAACUGAGAUGAGCCUGCCUUAACUCUGGGCACCGCCAUUUUGUGGAGUAGAGUCCUGGACUGAAUAAAAAGAGGUGAUCUGGCCAGGCGGUGGUGGUGCACGCCUUUAAUCCCAGCACUCGGGAGGCAGAGGCAGGCGGAUCUCUGUGAGUUCGAGGCCAGCCUGGGCUACCAAGUGAGUCCCAGGAAAGGCGCAAAGCUAUACAGAGAAACCCUGUCUCGAAAAACCAAAAAAAAAAAAAAAAAAAAAAAAGAAAAAAAGAGGUGAUCUGAACAUCAUCAUUUAUCGCCCCCUGCUUCCUGACUGCAAAUGCAAUGUGACCAGCAACCUCAUGCCCUCGCCACUGUGACUUCCGUGCCGUGAAGGACGAUCUCCUGUGAACUAUCUGUGAGCUCAAACAAACCCUCUCUCCCUUAGGUUGCCUUUGUGUGUAUUUGAUCACAACUGCAGGAAAGUGACCAUAGACCCCAAUCUGCUCCCUUACAUCACAGCCUUCUGCUUCACCUCAGGCCAGAAACAUGGGGUCAACCAGCCAUGGACUGAACCAGGAGCCCAAAUCACUCUUUGCUAUGAGCCAGUUCUCUUGGGGCUUGUCACAGUGAGGAGAAGCUGACUGUCACAGAUGUUUGUGUGUGUGUGUGUUUGGAUUUGUUUCUUAGGACUGCUGUGUCAAAUUCCACAAACCUGGGAACACACAGAUUUAUUCUGUCAUGGAUUCCACAAACCUGGGAACACACAGAUUUAUUCUGUCAUGGUUCUGGAGGCCAGAAAUCUGAAGUCUGGCAGGACUCUCUCCAAAGGCUCCAGGAAGAUGGAAUGGGCAAUGGUCAGAAGCGGUUCUGUUGAGGAGUGGAGUAGGAAUGUCUGGGUCUCUCUCCCAACACUGGAAGCACUUCCCAAAACCGGAAGCACUUCAGACCUCACCUCUCCUCGAGGCCAAACAGACUUCAGGGAAACUCUACUGACAACUGAAAAGGAUGAGGUGUGAACGACGACGUAAUGGAAAGAUGGAGCUCGUCCUUGGGGCUCCCAGAAAGACCAAGGGUUCCAAAGACACCUCUUAGUACAAUUCAGAAUUCUGCUACUGAGGGCUGAGGAGAUGGCUUAGUUGGAAAGAGCUUGCCUUGCAAACACAAGGACUUGAGUUCGAUCCCCAGACCCCAUGUAAAAACCUAAACAACCUGGGUAUGCAGUGUUCCUGUUCUACUGUCUGCCCCUCCCCUUCGGGCUAGGUUUACAGGCAUUGUUCUGUACUCAGCUUCUACAUGGGUGCUCGGGAUCUGAACUCAGGUCCUCAGGCUUGUGCGGCAAGUGUUCUUUACCCACCGAGCAUCUCGCCAGCUCCUAUGUCUGUCUUUUGUAAAGACAUUCUCCUAGCAAUAUGAACCUGUCUGGAAAACCGAGCAUAAUCGCUUCAUCUCAACAUCGUUGAAUGUAUCUGCCAAGACCUUUGCUUAAAUGAGGACAUGUUCACAGACUCCAGAGAUAAGGAUAGGGACACAUAUGCAUGAGGUAUCAUUUAAUCCACUGUGGUUAUAUAAGGACAGUGUAAAAAAAAAAAAAAAGGUAGCCUGUUGGUGGUGGUACAUUCCUUUAAUCCCAGCACUCAGAAGGCAGAAGCAAGUGGGUCUCUGUGAGUCCGAGACCAGCCUGGUCUUCAGUGAAUUCAAGGACAGCCAGGGCUACAUAGAGAAACCCUGUCUUGAAAAACAAAACAAAACAGAAAUGAAAAAAGAAGUCAUUAACAACAGUGAUUACUUUUGGGGGAAUUGUAAAUUUGCUAUAGCGAACCCAUAUUACAUUUAUAAUCAGAUAAAACAGAGCUGGGCGUGGUGGCACGUGCCUGUGAGUCUAGCAUUCAGGAGGCAGAGGCGGGAAGGUCUUAUGUGUCAGACAGCCCAGGCUGUAGACCCCAUUUGAAAAAACCCCUCCCAACAACAAAUCAGAAACCACAGAACAAUAACAGCAAAGCAAGAAUGAAAACUGACACUAAACAAAAGCAAAACACGAGCGUGCCCCAUCUUCUACCAACCCGCCAAGCCUGACUGUGCACACCAGGAAGUAGUGAGGGGACUUUGGAGGAGCUUAGUUGGUAAAGUGUCGGCCACAUAAACGUGAAGGUUUGAGUUCAGAUCUCCGGCACACCUGAAAUCUCAAUACUGGGAAGACAGAGACAGGGUCCCUGGGGAUUGCUGGCCAUCCAUUCUAGCAAAAUUAGUGAGCUCCUGGUCCAGUGAGAGACCUUGCCUCAAAAAAUAAAGUGUGUGUGUGGAGGGGUGUGUUACUUUUGUUUAUAUUGCAUUUGUUUAACUCUGUGAAGCUGUGAUACUUUGCCUGUCUAAAACAUCUGAUGGUCUAAUGAAGAGGUGAACGGCCAAUAGUGAGGCAGGAGAGAGACAUAGAUGGGGCUGGCAGGCAGAGAGGAUAUAUAGAAGGAGAAAUCUGGGAGGAAAAAGAAGUAGCUAGAGGAGGAGGAGGACUCCAGGGGCCAGCCACCCAGCUACACAGCAAGCCACGGAGUAGGAGUAAGAUUUACAGAAGUUAGAGAAUGGGAAAAGCCCAGAGGAAAAAGAUAGAGGGGAUAAUUUAAAGUUAAGAAAAGCUGGCAAGAAUCAAGCCAAGCUAAAGUCAGGCAUUUAUAAUUAAGAAUAAGCCCCCAUGUGUGCAUUUAUUUGGGAGCUGAGUGAUGGGCCCCCCAAAAGAGCAAAACCAAACACCAACAAGGGUGGGCCAGAGAGAUGGCUCAGCAGUUAAGAGCACUUGAUGCUCUUGCAGAGGACCUGGGGGUUCCCAACGCCCACCUAGUGGCCCACAAUCAACGUGCCUCCCGUUCCAGGAAAUCUGAUGCCUUCUUCUGACCUCCUCAGGCACCAGGCAUGUACAUCGUACACAUACAUACAUGCAGGCAAAAUACUCAUACUCAUAAAAAUAAAUAAUCUAAAAAUGAUUUUAAAAACUAAGGUGGAGAGAGACUGAAGAAGACACUCAACUUUAACCCCUAGCCUCCAUACAUUUGAAGUUAUGUCCUCAAAGUCAGUUGGGUGCCAGAAGGGGAUCACUUCUUCAGAGCCGAAUGCCCUUUGUCAGCCUCAGACAAUGCUGUUAUUGUCAGCCACAGACACAUGAAGCUUCUCUAUGCAAAGAAGAGCCUUGUCCUGGGAUGAGUGCCCAGGAUGAGCCACCCACCUCCCCAGAAGUGAAGAAACACUUCUCUGGGGUUGACUUGUCGAAAUAAAAAUACUUUUCUUUCCCAACCAGGAACCUCCCUGAGCAUGGGUGAUGUGUCUUGUUUCAUCAGCAUUGUGUUGAAAAAUUUUUGCAAUUAGUCCCUAACACUUUUUACUUACAAAUUUGGGUUUUGGCUUUCACCUGAUUGGUACAUUAGGCCUGUUGUGUCCUGUGGCAGCCAUCUACUAGACCGGAGGGUGGCAGUCCCUUUGAAAGGGCUGCAUGCAGCACAGUGUCUGUGGUUUUCCUUUCCCAUGCCACCCCACGCUUCUGCCUUUGCACUGCACCUUGGCCCCUGACGGCCUUUGAGCAGACUUCGCACACCCGCAUGAAGAAAACGAAGAUUGCUUCUUUGCAUUAGAGUACGGCAUUUUGUGGGUUAAAUGGGCUCCUGUUCGGAGACCUAAAUACUCUCAGUUCCAGGGAAAAACACAUUCACAGUUUCAAAUAGCUCACAAACGAACCUGAAGCCUGCAACCCGUUCAUAAAUCGGUGGCUCCUCUAACAGUAAUGUUUUACAGUCUACCUAAACAAGUAAUGGAAAACUCAUAUCCACGUAUGCACUUAGAGCAGGAAUUCAAUUCCACGGACUAGUGGGGAGAGACGUUACAAAAUCCCGCCAGGGCUUAUUAAGUUGUCUCUGUCUGUGUGCAGGGAUGUGUGUGUGUGUCCUUGUGGGGCUGUGGACAUGCUUCUACUUCAUUAGGGCUGGAAACUGUCAUAGUCCCAGUGGUAGGGAUUCAUGUCAUGAGCCAAAGUUACCCUCAACCUUAUUGAGUUAGAAGCUGGCGACUUUGCAAAAUUUCCUUGCUGGGGUGACCUGUGGCAGGUGUUUCUAGUGAAGCUCUUGAAUUUUUAAUCUGAGUUGAGUGGUGGAGGUCAGAGGUCACAGAACACUUGCUUGCCUUGGGUUUAGAGAAAGCUGUCUGAACUGAGUCUGGAGGCUUUUCAGAAGUCAGCGAAGAAUGUUUUUGGCUUGGCCUAGCCUGGUGGUACAUUCCUCUAAACCCAGCUCUUGAGAGGCGGAGACAGGAGGACAAGAAUUGGCUACAUAGUAACUUCAAGACCUGGGGUUAAGAGACUGUCUUUAAAAACAAAAUAUGCAUGGGCCAGAGAUACAGUUUAGCAGGUAAAAUCUGUCGUGAACAAGUUUGGCCAUCCAAGUUCAAUUCCCUGGGAACCAUGUGGUGAAGGAGAGAACAGACCCUGCAAGUUGUCCUCUGACCUCUACAUAUGUGCCGUGGUGUACUCUGUACCCCCAAAAUAAAUGUAUAAAACAUUUUAAAACUAUGUUAUUUUUUUUCUCCAGACUUUCCCCUAACUGGAAAACUGUUGAGGACUCUAGGCUAGGACACACUCAAUUAUCAAGUGGGAUAGGGGAAUGGAUCCAUCAGUUAAGUGCUUGCCAUGUGUGGUAGUUUGAAGUAAUUGGCCCCCAUAAACUCAUAGGGAGUGGCACUACUAGGAGGUGUGGCUUUGUUGGAGUAGGUAUGGCUUUGUUGGAGGAAGUGUGUCACUGUUGGGGCGGGCUUUGAGGUUUCCUAUGAUCAAGAUACUGUCCAGUGACUGAGACCAUUUCCUGUUGUCUUUUGAUCAAGAUGUAGCCAGCACCAUGUCUGCCUGCACGCUGCCAUGCUCCCCGCCAUGAUGAUAAUGGACUGAACUUCUGAUUUGCAAGUGAGCCACCCUAAUUAAAUGUUUUCCUUUAUAAGAGUUGCCACGGUCAUGGUGUCUCUUCACAGCAAUAGAAACUCUAAGACACCAUGCAUUUUUAAGGAUCUGAGUUAGGAUCCCAGGAACACAAAUAAAAGCCAAGCAUGGUGGCACAUACCUGUCACCCCAGCACUGGUUCAGGACAUGGUGACAAGUAGAUCCCAAGGUCUUACUGUCCAGCCAGUCUCUGAAACAGCAAGUUUCCAAUGCAAUGAGAGACCCUGUCUCAAAGAAUAUGGUGGAGAGCAAUAGGAGGAAGAUUCUUGAAAUUGACCUCUAGUCUCCUCAGGCAUACAUACGUGCCCACAUACAUGCAUAGCUGCACAUAUGCCUGCACAUGAAAGAGCUUUCAGCUUAAUGAGUACAUGGACGCCCAGAGAAGAGAUGUUCAGCAGUGGCGUCAUGUUAUGUAAGGUAGACAAGGGGUUGCAUGUCGGGAGAAGUAACUCCCUGUCUAUGGCAGGGCCUCUAAGUCCGUCUGUAUACUUACAUGAGAAACAGCAUUUUAGGUGCCUGGUGGCUGAGCAGUAGAGGUCAUGGCUGACAUGAGUCUAGGCGGAGUAGAGAAGAAACACUAGCAGUCACACGGCAGUCGAACUCUGGAACAUGGCUUGGGCUGUGACAGAAGGCAGGUCAGGAAGUUCAAGGCAGGACUGGGAGUCUCUGCUGUCAGGACACCAAGUCUGGGGUUUGUCCUGGGCAGUGGAGAACCCUAGAAAGUAUACUUCAACAUUUAUCUGGAGGAAAAGAAAGAUUUACAUUGGCUUACAGUUUGGGGGCUAUCAAUCACAUCAUGGCAGCCAGGAAGCAAAGAAAAGGGGACUAUGGGAAGGGGCCAAGGCAAGAGCUAGACCCUGAAGGACACACCCCCGGUCCUUUCUCCAAGCAGGCCUGACUUCUGACUGUCCUUCCUCUUUCGAUAGUGCCACUGUGUUAUGAACCCAUCAAGGUACUAAUGCAUUGGUUAGGUCAGAGUCCUCAGGAGCCUAAGCUUCUCCAAAGCUCACCAGUUGUUAUUAAAGCUAGACAAUAUCUGAACGUAUUGAGGAAAUUCCUUGUUUGAACCAUAACGUUCUUCCUUUGGUCCCCAGAAGACUCAUAGCCAAAUCACCUGCACUGUCUUAACAAUCCCAGCAUGACUCAAAGCCCAGACUCUCCCCUAAGACACCAGGUGUCCUGGUUGUUUUUGUUUUUGUUUUGUCUUGCCAAAUUGACACAAACCAGUUAUCUGAGAAGAGGGAGCAACAAUUGAGAAAAAUACCCGUGUGGGCAACCCUGUAGGGCAUUUUCUUAGUUAGUGAUUGAUGCACGAGGGCCCAGUCCAUUGUGGGUAGUGCUAUCCCUGAGCAGGUGGUCCUGGUUGGCAUAAGAAAGCAACAGCUGGGCAUGGUGGCACAGGCCUUUAAUCCCAGCACUUAGGAGGCAGAGGUAGGCAGAGCUACAGAGUGAGUUCCAGGACAGUCAAGUUUACAGAUUACCUAGAGAAAUCAUGUCUCCAGGAGAGAAAACAAAAACAAAAACAAAAAAAGACAAGAUGAGCAAGUCAUGCAGAGUAAGCCAACAAGAAACACUCCUCCAUGGCCUCUGCAUCCGUUCCUGCCUCCAGGUUCCUGUCUUGAGUUCCUGGCCUGGCUUCUCUGGAUGAUGAACUGUAGGAUGUCAGAUAAAAUAACCUCUUUUCUCCCCAAGUUGCUUUUGGUUAUGGUGUUUUGUCACAGCAAUAGAAACUCUAAGACACCAGCCAAACUCUCAAAGUCCUGUAAAAUUAAAAAAACAAAAAACAAAAAACAAAAAAACCCCAAACAAGUUGCUGGGGAUGUAGUUCAACUGGUAGAGUGCUUGUCUACCAUAUACAAAGCCCUGAACACAGUGGGGAAUGGCUCUGCAUUUGGAGCCACACAUUUGGACAGUGGUAGUACCAAUGGCCAAAAUAGUCAAGGUAAGAAGAGAAGAUUGGUUUGAGUCCUACUCUGAGGCCCUCAGGGGCCCCUGGUUCUCACUAUUCAUCUCUUAUUCAGACCCUGAGGACCUGGUGCCAGUAGGUGAAAGGACCGAAGAAGAUGGUAAAACUCCUCGGCAGAUUUCCAGUUCUCCCAUACCUCCUCCAACCGCAAGUCACUGGUCUCGGGGACCCAAGACCACCCACCUCACACCCUAGCCUAGGUGUUUUGAGCCUUGAUGAUUUGAAAGAUGCAGAGAGGUUAUUCUAGCCCUUGUUUCCACCCUUGGGCUGACUCAAAAGUCCAAUCUACUUUUUAAAAAGUUUUUAUGUUUACUUAUUUUGGGGUGUGGAACACAUACAUACACGUGUAGCUAUCAGGGGACAAUUUUUUGAGAGUUGGAUCCCUCCUUCCACCACGUGGGUUCUGGUGAUUGAACUCAGGUCCUCAGUCUUGGCUGCAGGUACCCUUAUCCACUGAGGCAGCUCAGUGGAUCCUCAACCUGUUCUGGCUCCUGCAUCCCGUAUUUACGCCCUCCACUUCACAAAGUCCCUCUGUAGGCUUGGUUUACAGUGCUCUGUGGACCUUUGGCCUCCACAGUGGAGUACCUCUUUUCCAUGGGACCCCUUAGCAAGUCGGAGCUCAUGGGCAUGUGAUGUGAUUAACAGUCUUGAGGGAAGCACUGGCGCUGAAAUUAUUCUGUUUCUGUUGAGUACACAUUAAUUAUUGCAAUUCUUUCACUAGAAUGAAGGGAAAGGAAAUUGGUGCCCCAGGCAACCAGGAUUGUGGAUAAGACCAUCCUAUGAAGAUCCUCUUAAAAAAAUUUUGUUUUGUUUUGUUUUUUGACACAGGGUUUCUCUGUGUAGCCCUGGCUGUUCUGGAACUUGCUCUGUAGACCAGGCUGGAAAACAAUUAAAAAAUUUCUUUUAGAUUUUUUUUUAUUACUUUAUGUGUAUGAGUAGUUUGCUUAUAUGUAGGUCUUUUGCCACAUGUGUGCCUGGUGCCCAAGGAGGUGGUGAGCUUCUAAGUGGGUGCUGGGAAUCGAACCUGAGACCUUUGAAACAACACGUACUCUUAACCUCUGAGCGAACUAUCCAACCCCAUGAAUUUGAGUUGAAUGCAUAAGCUCACCCAGUCAAAAGCAGACACCGAGUGUGGCUUGAACCCACAACACUGGGAUUAAGAGUCCCAUGUUUUACAGACUGAGCUAGCCAGGCAGCUGAACACCUUUAGGUCCAAUGAAGGGCAGCCAGUUUGACAGGGUUCCUGGGAAACAGUUCUGGCUCCAUUUUAUUAAACUUACUCUUUUGUCCUCUUCAAUUUUCCCUCAUGGCGCUCUGAGCCCCUUUCCUCUGCCCUUUAUCUGCCCUUCACUUCAAUCCACAUCUCCUUUCUUAGCCCCACAUCCAGACUGCAUUUGAUAUUCAUUGCAAAAGAAUUAGCCCGCUCAAUUUGCAGUAUCCAGCCGAACCUGGUGACCAGUGCAAAUGCAGGAAUAUGUAGCUGGACUCUUUUCCAGGUAACAUCUAAGAUGCCAGUCUUAGCAGCCUCAUUUUAAAAAACUAUUUAUAUUCACAAAAGUCCAUAAUAGCAUUUUUAUUGUGUAUGCCUGGGAUUUGGGUGCAUCACCCCUCCCCCGUGCCUGUUUCUUGUUAUUGUUCAACACUGACUGCAGCCUUAAAUGAUAAUGAAAACAGACGCACUCUUGAAAGCGAGGGCUGUUUCUGCCUUUAGUGUAUGUGGGCUCUUCUGCCUGAAGGGGGUGGUUGAGUGUUUAAGCGGUGGCUCUCCCCGCUCUUAGAACCCAAGUUCACAUCCACGCAAGCAUUACGUGAUUCUUUUAUUCUUCUGCAGAGAAUAAAUUGAAUACCAGGCUGUUUAGUGUGUGGGUGUCUUUCAGAUGAGACCUUAAGACCCAAAGGCUCUCUCUGGCCAGCGGGAUGCUGGAGUUCUUGUCUGACCAUCCAUGCCCUGGAUUUCAGAGCCCCGCCAGGACCCAGGUUGCUUGGUGCCUGCUGUUUCUUUCCUUCCGUGAUGUAGUGGCUGCGUUUUACCCUUUAGGGUCCUAGUGCAUAAAUAAAUAAAUAAAUCCAACAACAAAACAUUUCCUCUCUGAGUCUGCAAAUAUAAGUUUGAAUCUGCAUAACUCACCGGAUCUUGUGCCCUGUGAAUGACUGACUCGAAAAAGAAAGGGUUGUGUUUCAUAGCAGCUAUCAACGGAGUCCCUCCAAGCUGUUCCCAAGCCCAGCUGGAACCCCUGGGGCUCUCCAGAAAGGGUGGAUUCUAAUGGGCCCCAUCCUGUUCUUAGUGUUCCUCCCCUUGCCUAGAUGUUGGGUUCGUAAUUGCUGAUACAAUAAUGAUACCUUUAAUCUGACAUGCAAUAUGUCUUUUCAAGAAUGUGUUCGUUCUUGGUGGUCGAGUUCCACAAACAUGUCUGGGACAGGCAGACAACUUAUUAUGGGCUGCCUUCACAGAUGAAGACACAGACAAAGUGAGGUGAAAUGACUUGGCUAAGUCAUCUCAGCCAGUCUCACAUGGGCCCAUGAUGGGAAAAACAUUUCAGGAUUGCAAGGUGGGUGGUUUUCCCACAGCUAUGGGCGUAGGUGAUGAACUCCACACAGCUGCUGUGACAUCACGAUUCUGCUUUGACUUUACAAGGUGGGGCAAGCUGGUCUCAUUGAUCUCAUCUUCUAGGUCAGGAAACAGAAGUCCUGAGAGGCUGAGUUUCAAGAGAAUGCCGAGUGAAAAAAUAAGAAAGAGUUGGUCAUCGGGCUCCAAGUCUCCUGUUCUUGACGGUAAUUUGAUGCCUGAUGCCUGACUCAUUCAAUGGCCUUGGCCAAAACUUCAGAGCCAUCCUUGACACCUUUCUUGCUCUUAGCCCACAUCUGAUCCUUCAGCGGAUAUUACUGAUCCUGCUUUCAAAAUGGAUUCCAAGUGGACCAUGCCCAUCAUCCAAGCUCCACUCUCCAGGUCUGAGGCUUGUUAUCUCUCCCUGGACUGCUGUAAUAUUCCCUUGUAUGGCUAGUGGCCAAAGGAGGCCCAUAAAGGACCCGUCCUCCGGUGUUCAAGCAGUUUUUUCUCACUGAAUUCUAUGGCCCAUGACUAUUACACGACGGAGUACUGAGCUUUCCCACCACCCGUCAAGAAGACUUUGAAUUUCUGGCAGGCUGAAAGUUAUUUGGAUGAAGUCUGGAUACUUUGCUAGAGAUUCUGAGUGAAAAGACCAUGUGACCUUGUGUGUGAUGGCACACACUCUACAAUCCCAGCAGUUGGAAGCUGAGGCAGGAGGAUUGAAAGUUCAAAAAGAGCCUGAGUUACUACAUAUUGACUUCAAAAGAGUUUGGGGACCAGCCUGGACUAUGUGAGACCCUGUUACAACAUAAUCAUCCACAACGCAAGUAGCCACAAGAACAUCAAAUCUGCAUGUUCCAGGCCAGAGGUUAUACGGCACUGAGGAGGAUCCCUGGUGUUUGCUGGCCAGCCAGCUAGCCUACUUGGCAAGAUCCAGGUCAGUGAGAAAUCCUGUCUCAGAAGCAAAAAGAAAACGGUGGACAGCACCUGAGGAACAACAAUCAAGGUUGUCUCUGGCCUACACACACACACACACACACACACACACACACACACACACACACACACACACAUUCACGCAGACAGGCAUGUGCGCAAGCACACACAUACACACACACACACACACACACACACACAGAUAGCACUUCCUAGCACACAUACCCACACCCACAUGCAGGCAGCCCAGCUUGGCCCCCAUCUGUCUCCACCCAUUCUUUUCUCACAAUGCUUUUUAUGGCUUACCACAAUCAUUUCUCACCUGCAUUGAUCCUUCCCAACCCCUUUACACUUACUGCUUCUGCCACACACUCUAACACAUCACGUGACCCACUCUGGUCAGUGUAUCAAGAUCUGGAAUGAGGUAAGCUCAGGGGAAGGGACUGGGUGUGGUUCUCUUUCCCGUGUUCUUUGCAUCAUUGGGCACAGUGCCAGGCAUGCAGUAAGUGUUCAAUAAUUGAUUUAGAAGCACAGGGCCAUCACUGGUCCUUCCUGAGGACAGAGACAGUAUUGUGUAAGUUUUUUUGUGUCCCCACAACAGUCUCCAGGUAUGAACAUGUCUGAAAGCUGACAAUGACCUAUGUUUCUCAGAGCUGGGCUCCAAGAUGUGGUUAGUCAGUGUUAUGAAAGGCAUUGAGACAGGAUGAAUAGUAAAGGUUUUUUGUUUGUUUGUUUUUGUUUUUUCGAGACAAGGUUUCUCUGUGUAGCUUUGGAGCCUGUCCUGGAACUCAAUUUAUAGACCAGGCUGGCCUCGAACUCACAGAGAUCUGCCUGGCUCUCCUCCUGAGUGCUGGGAUUAAAGUUGUAUGUCAUCAGUGCCCAGCGAGUAGUAAAGGUUUUGAGGUGUCUGGGUUGAUAGAAGGCUCAUUUCCCAUGAAUCUCUCUCUCUCUCUCUCUCUCUCUCUCUCUCUCUCUCUCUCUCUCUCUCUCUCUCUCUCUCUCUGCUCUGUGUGUGUGUGUGUGUGUGUGUGUGUGUGUACCAGACAUUGCCUAGUGAUUGAGGUCUGGAACCAGAUGACCUCUUGGCUUCUGCUUUUAAAAGAAGCCACUUGCUUCUUGACUCAGGAGCCCUUUGGAAAUUUGUCACCUCUUGGUGAUCCUAUUGACAAUCCCUGAUUUUUCUGAUGGGUUUGAUCUUGGCUUAUAGUCUUUAAAUAGACAAAAAUUUCAAGGGAACUGAUUUUCAUUGGACUGAAAGUCAAUCAGUUGCAGCAGGAAUAUGAAAUUGGAGCUCUGGGGAGGGAACAAGCUGGAUUUUCAAUGUUCAAAGUCGAGGCAGUGGGGACUGCGCCUCUCUGGGAGUCACCUGAGAUACUGCCUCUGCACCCCUUAUGCGCAAGAUCAGGAAAGCCAGCUGGACCUCCCAGACUGCCUCCGUCCACUCCUUUGUCCUGUCAUAAGGUCCUUUGUUCCUCUACAUGUGCUCUUGGUUCUGGCUUCAUGCCUUUCUGGGCUCUGGGUUGAGGAGCCCCAUAACUGCAGGCCAGCACGCCUUUGUGCCUCCAAGUGUCCCCUGAACUCAGCACAUGUAAAAAUAGAUGUUCAAGAACAGCAAAGGUCCAGCUCCGAAUUCUGACUUGGAGUGAACUCCAUGCUCUUCUGGCGUCAGCGUGCUUAGGUGGCCUUAAGCAUACAGAGCCCGUGGUCAAGGAUGAUUGAGCCCUGCUUUGCUGCUGUUGUUAUGCACAGCCUUGUUUCUCUUACACAAAGCCUGAUUUUUUUUUUCUUUUCUCCCUACCUGCCUUGAUCUCUUUUGAGACAGGAUCUCACGUAUCUCAAGCUAUAUAGCUGAGGAUAACCCUGACACUCCUCUUGCACUCAAGUAUUGGCAUAGUAGGCAUGUGCCACCAUGCUUGGUUUAUGCAUUGCUGGGGAUUGAACCCACAACCUAGUGCAUGUUAGGCAAACACUAGCAACUGAGCCACAUCUCCAGCCCCGAGACCCGCUUUCUUUCUGCCUUCUGUUGUACCAUCUCAGCAGCAUGAGGAAGAAAUCCUUCUCCACCAAGCUUGAUGCCAGUUCCAGGGACAGCAAUGCUUGUUGUCCUGGAGGGGCUCCCUGUGUGUGCAGCCUGCAAGCUUUCAUUAAUUCACCAAGUACUUUCUGCCAGGGAGCCAGACAAGCGCUGUUAUUAUGAUCAUCCAUCACCGACGGGGAAGAAACUGAGGCAGCGUGGGGAGGAGGCUGCGGAGUGAGUGCGUCCAAUGGGGGAGAAGGAGGAGGCUGCAGAGAAGGCAGAGACAGGGGCCUGGCUCCAUCUGCCAGCCCCGAGGACCGGCCCUGAGGACCAGAGGUGAAGCGGUGACAUUGUGGCCGUCCCUGCAGCAGCCGCAUUUCAAACCAGACACCCCACUCCGCCACAGUCCCUUUCCUUUCAAGCCCCUAAACUGAAUACAUUUUGAUUCAAUUUGAAUGUUCUGGAUUAGUGGACGGGAAUGAGGUUUAAAAGAGGUCAGCUCCAUUACUCAGGGUUAUUAAUGAUGUUGUCGGCCUGUUAAAAUCUCAAAAAACUAGGAAAAUAAUAAAUUUUACAUAUUGAAAAAUCACGGAUGGAUCAGGCAAAUGGAUAAAUUCUUAAAAGUAUUUAAUAUCUGUUAAGAGGACAGAAUGAUAAAUUCAAUAUUGAAAACCAAUAUCAGAUUCACAAUUACAGGCCAUUUAUCAUAACCAGCCACACGGACAGCAGCCUAUUGCGGGAGCCCGGCGUGAUUCACAAGCAGAGACCCGGAACAGGUCCACACGAAACGAGAAAUAAAUCUGCUUUACAUAUUGGAAACUUAUUUCUACUUCCUAUCUUUAUUGCCAACAAUAAUGUUAGCUUUCAAGAACAAAUUGUUACACAUUAAACCCAUGCAUAAUGAACCCAAUUGAGUCAAAAACUUCCCUAAAAAGAGCUUUAAAUUAUUCCAAAUUGGGUUAUUAGCUUUAACUCUAAUUCCUCUGAGAGGGCCCGGUCAUCUGAUAGUAAGGUUCAGCUUUUAACCAGACAGUGGAUCUCCCAAGUUCUAGAACCAUCUUGUCUCCUCCCCUCCCACCUCCCCUGAAGAGUUAACCGUGGUGGGUUAAAGGGUAGUCAUGACAGUGCUUAACACAUGUGCUAACGCAUUUGGAGAGCAGGGCUGUGUAUGCUUGCAUGUGUGUGAGAUGCAGAGACAAGGGAUGAGCUUGGGAGUCCCCUCCUGUCACUCCCACAGGCUUUCCCACGGAGCCUGAAGUUUGGUGUUUUGAUUAGGGUGAGUGGCUGGUGAUUUCCUGGGAUACGCUGGUCUCUGCUUUACGAUACUAGGGUUACAGGCACACAUGGUCAUACUGGCUUAAGAGAGACAUUUUCAGCUCUAAGAUUAAUUAGUUGCCUUUAGUCUCAGCACUCGGUAGGCAGAGGCAGGUGGAUCUCUGUGAAUUUGAGGCCAGCCCUGGUGUACAAAGUGAGUUCCAGGACAGCUAGGGCUACACAGUGAGAUGCUGUCUCAAAAUCAAAAACCAAAACCAAAAAAGGUUAGUUAGUGGUCUGCUUUAUUUGGGUCUGUGAGUGAUGGUAACUCAAUGGGAUGGUUUGAACAUGGACCCUUGCUUGUCAUUAGCUGCCAGAGUGCCAGGCUAAUUAACAUGCUGAUCUUCAGGUAUCCUAGGGUCAAGUGGCAGAUGAGUGGCUGAUAUAUAUGUCACUGUCCAGGCUGACCCAGCUGACACAACUGUAGUCAUUUCAAAGGAUAGAUUUAAUUCAUGUACUUUUUUUUUAAAUUAACUCUUUCAAGACAGGGUUUCUCUGUGUAACAGCUCUGGCUAUCCUGGAACUCAUUUUGUAGACCUAGCUGGCCUUGGGAAAACAACAACAGAGAUCCACCUGCCCCUGCCUCCUGAGUGCUGGGAUUAAAGGCGUGCGCCGCCAUUUAUGUAUUUAAUUUUUAAAUUUAUUUAUUUAGUGGUGUGUGUUUGUGUGUGUGAUGUGAUGUACAUGUGUGCCACAGUGCAUGUGUGGAGGUCAGAGGACAACUUAGCCCUUGUUUCUACCGUGUAGAAGAAGGUUCUGGAGAUUGAACUCAGGUCAUCAAGUUUGGUGGCAAACACUUUUGUCCACUGACCUUUCUGGCCUACAAGAUCUUGUAUUUUUGUCAAAAAAAGAGAUAGUCAAAUAUAGAAAAUUUGGAGGGUGUACAAGGAAAACACCAUCUUUAAUCCCCUCGUAACAGACACUAUUGCCAAUUACAUGUUUAUUUAUUUCUUUUUAUUUUAUUUUUGUUGUUGUAUAUUUUUGUCAAAGUUGGGAUUAUAGAAACAGUUUUCUAUACAAUGAUCACCUUUAACUUUUAAAAAAUUUUAAUUUUAUACAUAUAGGAGUAUUGCUUGCAUGGAUGUUUGUGCACCACACGACUACAGUGUCCUCAGAGGCCAGUUAAGAGUGUUGGAUCCCUGAGAACUGGAGUUACAGACAGUUAUGAGAGACUCUGUAGGUGCUGGAAAUUGAACCUAAGUCCGGCGGAAGAGCAGCCAGUGAGCCUUCUUAACCACCGGGCCCUCUCUCCAGCCCUAGAAGGAUCAUCUUAGCUGGCCUCUACCUCCUGAGUGCUAGGAUUACAGGCAUGUGCCACCACGUCUAGUUUAUGUGGCUGGGGAUGAAACCAGGGUUUUGUGCAUGCUAAGCAAGCAUGCUACCAGAUGAGCCACAUCCCAGGCCUGCGAUGGUCAUCUUAAUUGUUACAUUAAAUGUCAUCACUUUAUAAGGAACCUUCUCCUAAUGGGGAUUAUUUUGGUUGCUUUUGACUUUUCUUUGUUCCAAAUCACAUUGCAACCAUCAUCCUCAUACAUGCAUCUCUGAGUAGAUUGCUGAUUUGAUAUUUGUUUUAAAAAAACUCAUAUUGUGUUAAAGAAUGUGAACCAUUUGCUAUUUAAAUCUAUAUUGUCUAAAAAAGGCUGCUGUGAACUCUUUUUAAAAUUUUAUUUUUGAUUAUGUGUAUGCAUGUGGAUUGGUGCAGGUGAGUGUAGGUGCCCAGGGAGGCCAGGAGAGGGCGUUAGAACCUCUGGAGCUGAAAUUACAGGCAGUCGUGAGCCAUCUAACACGGAUGCUCGGAGCUGAACCCAGGUUUUCUGCAAGCACAGUAUGAGGUCUUAACUGCUGAGCCAUCCCUCCAACCCUUGAUAUGAGCUUCUGACUCACGAAGGUGCUCCUUGUUUGUAGAAUGGGCAGCAACAGCAUCAAAGUUAAGUUCAUGGGCUCUGGGGUCAGGCUUGUCUGCACUCAGGUCUGAUGUGGACCCCCCGGGGAGGCUUUAACCAUGCUGUCCCUCCACUGGCUCAUCUGUAAAAUGGGCAUCAUAUCUCCCUCCUAGAGUUGUCGUGAAGAUAAAGUGUGACACCACAUAGGAGAUGCCUACCACCCAGCCUGCCUAACUAAACACUCCAUAAAGGCAGCAAUGGAUCUCCAGCACCCAGGACAGGGCUUGGCACACCCUAGGCACUCCAUCAAUGCUUGCCAAAUGACCAAUGAAUCAGCAAUCAGGCUCCAUGUGACCCAAUCUGCA